CGUUGGUUUGACUGAAGACAGGAAGAAGCAGAGCAAAAGCAAGAGAACCCACUCCGCUGUGUUCCUCAACUACGCCUUCUGUUGUCACUGCUCCGCCCUUGCUCACUGAAACAUUUGUGAAUGUCUGUGAAGAAUCGUGUUGGGAUUUUGAUGGGGAUUGCAAUAAAUCUGUAAGAUUGUGCUAGAUACAGCUGUCCAGCUGCCUGAUGUCUCCACAGAGAACAGCUACAGCUACACGUCGCCAUGGAGAGCUUGGGGUGCCUGAGGUCAUGUCCUAAGGCAGGAAAACCAGACAGGAAGUAAAGGUGAUGCAAUGAG
Molecule: non-coding RNA, 318 nt
Organism: Myodes glareolus (Bank vole)
Lineage: Eukaryota; Metazoa; Chordata; Mammalia; Rodentia; Cricetidae
Source: RefSeq, a predicted model, not a curated record